UGACACCCAACCGAGUUCAACCUAACAUCCCCACCAGCACUCACGUAAGGCUUAUUAAACAUAAGCCACCCAUACAGCAUACCAAUCGAUCCAUACAAAACCAAGCAGCACAAAAAGAACACAAACCCAGGCGGCAGAAAUCUGUGAUGAAGCAAGUGCUGUUGAUACUCCCAUCUCCACCGAAACAAGCACUUCAAGUUUACGUCCCAGCAGGAGCUCACCGCAGUUGUACUAUUAGUACAACCGGCACCAGCACCUACACCUCCUGCUCCAAUAGCUCCAGGAACCACCAUGAUUACCGAUGAUUACACGCACAAACCUCAAAAGGAGAGAAUUUUCCCCUUGAGUAGUAGCAUUUGCUUCCCUUUCUUGGAAUUUAAAUGAUUUUGGCCUCCUUUUCUUUUACUUGCG
Molecule: unclassified non-coding RNA, 411 nt
Filed under: Hevea brasiliensis (rubber tree)
Lineage: Eukaryota; Viridiplantae; Streptophyta; Magnoliopsida; Malpighiales; Euphorbiaceae
Source: RNAcentral